GAUGAACGCUGGCGGCGUGCCUAAUACAUGCAAGUCGAGCGAACAGACGAGGAGCUUGCUCCUCUGACGUUAGCGGCGGACGGGUGAGUAACACGUGGAUAACCUACCUAUAAGACUGGGAUAACUUCGGGAAACCGGAGCUAAUACCGGAUAAUAUAUUGAACCGCAUGGUUCAAUAGUGAAAGACGGUUUUGCUGUCACUUAUAGAUGGAUCCGCGCCGCAUUAGCUAGUUGGUAAGGUAACGGCUUACCAAGGCAACGAUGCGUAGCCGACCUGAGAGGGUGAUCGGCCACACUGGAUCUGAGACACGGUCCAGACUCCUACGGGAGGCCGCAGUAGGGAAUCUUCCGCAAUGGGCGAAAGCCUGACGGAGCAACGCCGCGUGAGUGAUGAAGGUCUUCGGAUCGUAAAACUCUGUUAUUAGGGAAGAACAAAUGUGUAAGUAACUAUGCACGUCUUGACGGUACCUAAUCAGAAAGCCACGGCUAACUACGUG
RNAcentral lists this ribosomal RNA (497 nucleotides) under uncultured bacterium. RNAcentral's name for it is "partial 16S ribosomal RNA". It matches the Rfam family "Bacterial small subunit ribosomal RNA", at positions 28 to 507 of the family's 1533-position model. The record is from RNAcentral.